RNAcentral lists this ribosomal RNA (472 nucleotides) under uncultured bacterium. RNAcentral describes it as "partial 16S ribosomal RNA". It matches the Rfam family "Bacterial small subunit ribosomal RNA", at positions 28 to 507 of the family's 1533-position model. The record is from RNAcentral.
GACGAACGCUGGCGGCGUGCUUAACACAUGCAAGUCGAACGCUGAAGCUUGGUGCUUGCACUGGGUGGAUGAGUGGCGAACGGGUGAGUAAUACGUGAGUAACCUGCCCUUGACUCUGGGAUAAGCCUGGGAAACUGGGUCUAAUACUGGAUACUACAUGUCACCGCAUGGUGGCGUGUGGAAAGGGUUUUAUUGGUUUUGGAUGGGCUGACGGCCUAUCAGCUUGUUGGGUGGGUAAUGGCUCACCAAGGCGACGACGGGUAGCCGGCCUGAGAGGGGGACCGGCCACACUGGGACUGAGACACGGCCCAGACUCCUACGGGAGGCAGCAGUGGGGAAUAUUGCACAAUGGGCGAAAGCCUGAUGCAGCGACGCCGCGUGAGGGAUGACGGCCUACGGGGUGUAAACCUCUUUCAGCACGGAAGAAGCGAAAGUGACGGUACGUGCAGAAGAAGCGCCGGCUAACUACGUG